Molecule: ribosomal RNA, 406 nt
Filed under: uncultured bacterium
Lineage: Bacteria
Description: partial 16S ribosomal RNA
Rfam family: Bacterial small subunit ribosomal RNA
Source: RNAcentral
AUUGAACGCUGGCGGCAGGCCUAACACAUGCAAGUCGAACGAGUGGCGGACGGGUGAGUAAUGUCUGGGAAACUGCCUGCUGGAGGGGGAUAACUACUGGAAACGGUAGCUCAUACCGCAUACCAUCGGAUGUGCCCAGAUGGGAUUAGCUAGUAGGUGGGGUAAAGGCUCACCUAGGCGACGAUCCCUAGCUUGUCUGAGAGGAUGACCAGCCACACUGGAGCUGAGACACGUUACAGACUCCUACGGGAGGCAGCAGUUGGUAAUAUUGCACAAUGGGCGAAAGCCUGAUGCAGCCAUGCCGCGUGUAUGAAGAAGGCCGUCGGGUUGGAAAGUACUUUCAGCGGGGAGGCGUUACACGCAGAGGAGGCACCGGCUAACUCCGUGCCAGAAGCCGCGGUAAUAC